RNAcentral lists this ribosomal RNA (1010 nucleotides) under Salmonella enterica. Its description in RNAcentral is "partial 23S ribosomal RNA". It matches the Rfam family "Bacterial large subunit ribosomal RNA", at positions 161 to 1212 of the family's 2925-position model. RNAcentral also lists the same sequence under 1 other name. The record is from RNAcentral. Lineage: Bacteria; Pseudomonadati; Pseudomonadota; Gammaproteobacteria; Enterobacterales; Enterobacteriaceae.
AAUCCAUAGGUUAAUGAGGCGAACCGGGGGAACUGAAACAUCUAAGUACCCCGAGGAAAAGAAAUCAACCGAGAUUCCCCCAGUAGCGGCGAGCGAACGGGGAGGAGCCCAGAGCCUGAAUCAGCAUGUGUGUUAGUGGAAGCGUCUGGAAAGGCGCGCGAUACAGGGUGACAGCCCCGUACACAAAAGCGCAUGUGCUGUGAGCUCGAUGAGUAGGGCGGGACACGUGGUAUCCUGUCUGAAUAUGGGGGGACCAUCCUCCAAGGCUAAAUACUCCUGACUGACCGAUAGUGAACCAGUACCGUGAGGGAAAGGCGAAAAGAACCCCGGCGAGGGGAGUGAAAAAGAACCUGAAACCGUGUACGUACAAGCAGUGGGAGCACCCUUUGGGUGUGACUGCGUACCUUUUGUAUAAUGGGUCAGCGACUUAUAUUCUGUAGCAAGGUUAACCGAAUAGGGGAGCCGGAGGGAAACCGAGUCUUAACCGGGCGUUAAGUUGCAGGGUAUAGACCCGAAACCCGGUGAUCUAGCCAUGGGCAGGUUGAAGGUUGGGUAACACUAACUGGAGGACCGAACCGACUAAUGUUGAAAAAUUAGCGGAUGACCUGUGGCUGGGGGUGAAAGGCCAAUCAAACCGGGAGAUAGCUGGUUCUCCCCGAAAGCUAUUUAGGUAGCGCCUCGUGAAUUCAUCUCCGGGGGUAGAGCACUGUUUCGGCUAGGGGGCCAUCCCGGCUUACCAACCCGAUGCAAACUGCGAAUACCGGAGAAUGUUAUCACGGGAGACACACGGCGGGUGCUAACGUCCGUCGUGAAGAGGGAAACAACCCAGACCGCCAGCUAAGGUCCCAAAGUCAUGGUUAAGUGGGAAACGAUGUGGGAAGGCCCAGACAGCCAGGAUGUUGGCUUAGAAGCAGCCAUCAUUUAAAGAAAGCGUAAUAGCUCACUGGUCGAGUCGGCCUGCGCGGAAGAUGUAACGGGGCUAAACCAUGCACCGAAGCUGCGGCAGCGAC